UACGGGGGGGGCAAGCGUUGUUCGGAAUUACUGGGCGUAAAGGGCUCGUAGGUGGCCAACUAAGUCAGACGUGAAAUCCCUCGGCUUAACCGGGGAACUGCGUCUGAUACUGGAUGGCUUGGAUUUGGGAGAGGGAUGCGGAAUUCCAGGUGUAGCGGUGAAAUGCGUAGAUAUCUGGAGGAACACCGGUGGCGAAGGCGGCAUCCUGGACCAAUAUUGACGCUGAGGAGCGAAAGCUAGGGGAGCAAACGGG
Molecule: ribosomal RNA, 253 nt
Filed under: uncultured bacterium
Lineage: Bacteria
Description: partial 16S ribosomal RNA
Rfam family: Bacterial small subunit ribosomal RNA
Source: RNAcentral